UUAAUUGAAGUCAAUAUUUCUGAGACAAUCCACUGUUAAUGGUAGAAAGAAUACAGUUAUUCCAAUUAAG
RNAcentral lists this transfer RNA (70 nucleotides) under Trichodectes canis. Its description in RNAcentral is "tRNA-Asn". The record is from RNAcentral. Lineage: Eukaryota; Metazoa; Arthropoda; Insecta; Psocodea; Trichodectidae.